RNAcentral lists this ribosomal RNA (401 nucleotides) under uncultured bacterium. RNAcentral's name for it is "bacterial SSU rRNA". It matches the Rfam family "Bacterial small subunit ribosomal RNA", at positions 8 to 437 of the family's 1533-position model. The record is from RNAcentral.
AGAGUUUGAUCCUGGCUCAGAGCGAACGCUGGCGGCAGGCCUAACACAUGCAAGUCGAGCGCCGUAGCAAUACGGAGCGGCAGACGGGAGAGUAACACGUGGGAACGUGCCCUUUGGUUCGGAACAACACAGGGAAACUUGUGCUAAUACCGGAUAAGCCCUUACGGGGAAAGAUUUAUCGCCAAAGGAUCGGCCCGCGUCUGAUUAGCUUGUUGGUGAGGUAACGGCUCACCAAGGCGACGAUCAGUAGCUGGUCUGAGAGGAUGAUCAGCCACACUGGGACUGAGACACGGCCCAGACUCCUACGGGAGGCAGCAGUUGGGAAUCUUGGACAAUGGGGGAAACCCUGAUCCAGCCAUGCCGCGUGAGUGAUGAAGGCCUUCGGGUUGUAAAACUCUUCG